Molecule: signal recognition particle RNA, 302 nt
Filed under: Triticum aestivum (bread wheat)
Lineage: Eukaryota; Viridiplantae; Streptophyta; Magnoliopsida; Poales; Poaceae
Also listed under: 1 other name
Description: SRP RNA Plant_SRP
Rfam family: Plant signal recognition particle RNA
Source: RNAcentral
GCCAAGCUCAGUUGCGUGAGCUUGUAACCCAAGUGGGGGCAUUAAAGUGAUAUGGACACUGUUGUAGUGUUGCGGGCCUGGUUUGGGUGUACUACUGUUGGCCCGCCCAUUCCAAGUUGCCUAGUGGACUACUUGGGGCCUAUGCGAAAGUUGGGCCUCACGGUCCAUAAUAUGGCAGGCACAGCGUGAGGCUGGCUUAACAGAGCAGCAACAACAGCCCGCUUUCAAAAAAAAAACCGUGCCUGGCGUGCCAAUGGGAACUGCAUGCCCCCAGCCUGCAACAUUUCCGUCGUGCCGGUUUA